Molecule: ribosomal RNA, 1395 nt
Filed under: bacterium NLAE-zl-P373
Lineage: Bacteria
Description: 16S ribosomal RNA
Rfam family: Bacterial small subunit ribosomal RNA
Source: RNAcentral
CAUGCAAGUCGAGGGGCAGCAUUUCAGUUUGCUUGCAAACUGGAGAUGGCGACCGGCGCACGGGUGAGUAACACGUAUCCAACCUGCCGAUAACUCGGGGAUAGCCUUUCGAAAGAAAGAUUAAUACCCGAUGGNAUAAUCAGACCGCAUGGUCUNAUUAUUAAAGAAUUUCGGUUAUCGAUGGGGAUGCGUUCCAUUAGGCAGUUGGUGAGGUAACGGCUCACCAAACCUUCGAUGGAUAGGGGUUCUGAGAGGAAGGUCCCCCACAUUGGAACUGAGACACGGUCCAAACUCCUACGGGAGGCAGCAGUGAGGAAUAUUGGUCAAUGGGCGCAGGCCUGAACCAGCCAAGUAGCGUGAAGGAUGACUGCCCUAUGGGUUGUAAACUUCUUUUAUAUGGGAAUAAAGUUUUCCACGUGUGGAAUUUUGUAUGUACCAUAUGAAUAAGGAUCGGCUAACUCCGUGCCAGCAGCCGCGGUAAUACGGAGGAUCCGAGCGUUAUCCGGAUUUAUUGGGUUUAAAGGGAGCGUAGGUGGACAGUUAAGUCAGUUGUGAAAGUUUGCGGCUCAACCGUAAAAUUGCAGUUGAUACUGGCUGUCUUGAGUACAGUAGAGGUGGGCGGAAUUCGUGGUGUAGCGGUGAAAUGCUUAGAUAUCACGAAGAACUCCGAUUGCGAAGGCAGCUCACUGGACUGCAACUGACACUGAUGCUCGAAAGUGUGGGUAUCAAACAGGAUUAGAUACCCUGGUAGUCCACACAGUAAACGAUGAAUACUCGCUGUUUGCGAUAUACAGUAAGCGGCCAAGCGAAAGCAUUAAGUAUUCCACCUGGGGAGUACGCCGGCAACGGUGAAACUCAAAGGAAUUGACGGGGGCCCGCACAAGCGGAGGAACAUGUGGUUUAAUUCGAUGAUACGCGAGGAACCUUACCCGGGCUUAAAUUGCAUUUGAAUANUNUGGAAACAGNNUAGCCGCAAGGCAAAUGUGAAGGUGCUGCAUGGUUGUCGUCAGCUCGUGCCGUGAGGUGUCGGCUUAAGUGCCAUAACGAGCGCAACCCUUAUCUUUAGUUACUAACAGGUCAUGCUGAGGACUCUAGAGAGACUGCCGUCGUAAGAUGUGAGGAAGGUGGGGAUGACGUCAAAUCAGCACGGCCCUUACGUCCGGGGCUACACACGUGUUACAAUGGGGGGUACAGAAGGCAGCUACCUGGUGACAGGAUGCUAAUCCCAAAAGCCUCUCUCAGUUCGGAUCGAAGUCUGCAACCCGACUUCGUGAAGCUGGAUUCGCUAGUAAUCGCGCAUCAGCCAUGGCGCGGUGAAUACGUUCCCGGGCCUUGUACACACCGCCCGUCAAGCCAUGAAAGCCGGGGGUACCUGAAGUACGUAACCGCAAGGAG